Molecule: ribosomal RNA, 449 nt
Filed under: Escherichia coli
Lineage: Bacteria; Pseudomonadati; Pseudomonadota; Gammaproteobacteria; Enterobacterales; Enterobacteriaceae
Description: partial 23S ribosomal RNA
Rfam family: Bacterial large subunit ribosomal RNA
Source: RNAcentral
UUGAAAUACCACCCUUUAAUGUUUGAUGUUCUAACGUUGACCCGUAAUCCGGGUUGCGGACAGUGUCUGGUGGGUAGUUUGACUGGGGCGGUCUCCUCCUAAAGAGUAACGGAGGAGCACGAAGGUUGGCUAAUCCUGGUCGGACAUCAGGAGGUUAGUGCAAUGGCAUAAGCCAGCUUGACUGCGAGCGUGACGGCGCGAGCAGGUGCGAAAGCAGGUCAUAGUGAUCCGGUGGUUCUGAAUGGAAGGGCCAUCGCUCAACGGAUAAAAGGUACUCCGGGGAUAACAGGCUGAUACCGCCCAAGAGUUCAUAUCGACGGCGGUGUUUGGCACCUCGAUGUCGGCUCAUCACAUCCUGGGGCUGAAGUAGGUCCCAAGGGUAUGGCUGUUCGCCAUUUAAAGUGGUACGCGAGCUGGGUUUAGAACGUCGUGAGACAGUUCGGUCCCUA